UGAAACAUCAUUAGCCUCCAAGGGAG
RNAcentral lists this non-coding RNA (26 nucleotides) under Mus musculus (house mouse). Lineage: Eukaryota; Metazoa; Chordata; Mammalia; Rodentia; Muridae. The record is from RNAcentral.